GUCAUGGCGUCCCGAACCCUCCUCCUGCUGCUCUUGGGGGCCCUGGCCCUGACCGAGACCUGGGCGGGUGAGUACCCACUCCAUAAGGUAUUUCAGCACCGCCGUGUCCCGGCCGGGUCGCGGGGAGCCCCGGUACAUCGCAGUGGGCUACGUGGACGACACGCAGUUCGUGCGGUUCGACAGCGACGCGGCGACUCCGAGGAUGUAGCCGCAGUCGCCGUGGUUGGAGCAGGAGGGACCGGAGUAUUGGGACCGGAGCACACGGAACAUCAGGCCCGCGCACAGACUGACAAGAGUGAACCUGCCCAUGCCGCGCCGCUACUACCACCAGAGCUAGGCCGGGUCUAACACCCUCCAGAUAAUGUAUGGCUGCGACUUGGGGCUGGAAGGGCGCCUCCUCCGCGGGUAUGAACAGCACGCCAACGAUGGCAAGGAUUACAUAGCCCGGAACUAGGACCUGCGCUCCUGGACCGCGGCGGACAUGGCGGCUCAGAUCACCAAGCGCAAGUGGGAGGCAGAAGAAUUUGCAGAGCAGAUCAGGGCCUACCUGGAGGGCACGUGCGUGGAGAGGCUCGCAGACACCUGGAGAACGGGAAGGAGACGCUGCAGCUCACGGACCUCUCCCCCAGACACAUAUGAUCCACCAUUCCGUCUCUGACUAUAAGGCCACCCUGAGGUGCUGGGCCCUGGGCUUCUACCCUGUGGAGAUCACACUGGCCUGGCAGCAGGAUGGAGAGGACCAGACUCGGGACAUGGAGCUUCUAGAGACCAGGCCUGCAGGGGAUGGAACCUUCCAGAAGUGGGCAGCUGUGGUGGUGCCUUCUGGAGAGGAACAGAGAUACCCGUGCCAUGUGCAGCAUGAGGGGUUGCCCAAGCCCCUCACCCUGAGAUGGGAGCAGUCUUCUCAGCCCACCAUCCCCAUCGUGGGUAUCGUUGCUGGCCUGGUUCUCCUUGGAGCUGUAGUCACUGGAGCUGUGGUUUCUGCUGUGAUGUGCAGGAAGAAGAACUCAGAUAGAGUGAGCUACUCUGAAGCUGCAAGCAGCGACCAUGCGCAGGGUUCUGAUGUGUCUCUCACGGCUUGUAAAGUGUGAGACAGCUGCCUUGUGUGGGACUGAGAGGCAAGAUUUGUUCACGCCUUCCCUUUGUGACUUCAAAAACCCUGACUCUCUUUCUGCAAAGGCACCUGAAUGUGCCUGUGUUCCUGUAGGCAUAAUAUGAGGAGGUGGGGAGACCAACCCACCCCCAUGUCCACCAUGACCCUCUUCCCUCAUGCUGACCUGUGUUCCGUCUCCAAUAAUUAAUCAUUCCUGCUCCAUAGAGGUGAGGCUGAGAUGUCUCCAUCUCUGUCUCAACUUUAUGUGCACUGAGCUGUAACUUCUUACUUCCCUAUUAAAAUUAGAAUCUGAGUAUAAAUUUACUUUUUCAAAUUCUUGCCAUGAGAGGUUGAUGGGUUAAUUAAAGGAGA
This 1465-nucleotide long non-coding RNA is filed under the name Homo sapiens (human). RNAcentral describes it as "long non-coding RNA NONHSAT207058.1". The record is from RNAcentral. Lineage: Eukaryota; Metazoa; Chordata; Mammalia; Primates; Hominidae.